GCAUAAAAAGUAUUAGAGGCACUGCCUGCCCAGUGACCUUAGUUCAACGGCCGCGGUAUCCUGACCGUGCAAAGGUAGCAUAAUCACUUGUUCUUUAAAUAAGGACUUGCAUGAAUGGCCCCACGAGGAUUUCACUGUCUCUUACUUCCAAUCGGUGAAAUUGACAUUUCCGUGAAGAGGCGGGAAUUGACUAAUAAGACGAGAAGACCCUAUGGAGCUUUAAUUAAUCAACUCAUCAAUAAUACUUUUUCUCUAAAAGAGCCAACACCUAUUUGACUGAGCUGACAAUUUAGGUUGGGGUGACCUCGGAACAAAACUCAACUUCCGAAAUACUUUUAUCAAGACAGACAAGUCAAAAUUAACCACACAAAUACAUAUUGACCCGUCGACCAGACGAUCAACGAAACAAGUUACCCUAGGGAUAACAGCGCAAUCCUAUUCAAGAGUCCAUAUCGACAAUUAGGGUUUACGACCUCGAUGUUGGAUCAGGACAUCCCAAUGGUGCAGCAGCUAUUAAUGCGUUCGUUUGUUCAACGAUUAAAGUCCU
This 547-nucleotide ribosomal RNA is filed under the name Kerivoula papillosa (papillose woolly bat). RNAcentral describes it as "partial 16S ribosomal RNA". It matches the Rfam family "Bacterial large subunit ribosomal RNA", at positions 1834 to 2597 of the family's 2925-position model. The record is from RNAcentral. Lineage: Eukaryota; Metazoa; Chordata; Mammalia; Chiroptera; Vespertilionidae.